GGAGAGCCACCAUAUAAGCACCAAGCCUAACCAGCUGAAAGGGCACUGAAAAAAAUCCAUAUAAAAUUAUAAAUACUCCAUUCUCCAGACUUUAUAGGAUGGAUAAUGUUUCAUAAAGUAAACUACAGUAUUUCAUUUCUCAUUUCUUGUUGCCGCCGUCCAUAAUCGCCAAUAUCCGAUCAUUUAUUUGACUCAUGGAACUAGAACCAUCCUGGAAGGAUCAUGAUUGUAGAUACUUGUCGGUCAGUAAAGAAGACAAUACAAGCGAACCUGACGUGGUUGACCCUUUGUUAGAAAUAACUCCUGUCAAUGAUGAAGAAAAGGAUGUUGUCUGUAUUAACUCCAUUCUCCCAGAUGAUAUUUUAGAGCGAGUUUUUGGACAUCUUCCAGUUUCAACAGUUAUUAAAGCAGGUUGUGUAUGUAAGAAAUGGAAUGAUAUGUUGCAGUCUGAAAGAUUUAUACAGAAUCUGCCUAGCACUUCACCUCAAAAACCUUGGUACUUCAUGUUUACCAACGACUCUGAUCCGCAAGGGCAUGUAUAUGAUCCUAUGCUUUUGAAGUGGUACAGAUUUGAGAUCCCGUAUGUUGAGAUGCCUAGUUGGAAUCUUUUUUCAUCUUCAGGUUUAGUAUGCUUUAUGGAUAAUGACUCUAGGAGAAAACUAUAUGUUUGUAAUCCAGUUACAAGAUGUUGUAGAAAGCUUGCAGGGCCUUAUGGUACAGAAUUAUCUGAUUACUGUGCCCUUGCAGUCUCAUUGGAUGAAUCAUCACGAAAGUAUACACUGGCUAUAGUGAGAUCUAAACAAGCUCCUGGAGAACAGGCAGAUUGGGGUCUCUCAAUUGAUGUUUAUAGUUCCAAAAAUAAGUUAUGGACAUGUCCUGUGGAGGUUAAUUUACAAGCUUGGAGAAGUGGAGCUGACAGUGUGAUAUGUGGUGGGAUUCUGUAUUUUGUGGUAUAUCUAACAAGGACACUGGGCUUUAUAAGCCCCCACUAUGGUGUGCUGGCUUAUGAUCUUGCUUCUGAGUCCUUUGACAUUGAUGUGGUUGAACGCGUGAUUCUGGCACCUUGUCCUGUCACAUGCAUGCGGUUGAUGAACAUUAAAGAAGAGCUUGUUAUGGUGGGAGGGAUUGAGAAACAAGGGCGAUCUGGCGUGAUCAAAGGCAUUGGUAUCUGGGUUCUUAAAGGGAAGGCGUGGGAAGAGGUUUCCCGUAUGCCAAACAAAUUCUUCAGAGGAUUUGGGGAGUUUGACGAUGUCUUUGCCAGUAGUGGUUUUGACAAUCUUAUAUACAUUCAGGGCUAUGGAACUCCUGCUCUUCUUAUGUUUGAAAUGAAUACAAAAGAAUGGAGGUGGUCACACAGAUGCCCUGCCACCAAGAAGUUUCCUCUCCAGCUGUUUUCUGGAAUUUGUUUUGAACCCCGGUUUGAUAUUUCUCCGUGAUUUGGGCAUUCUACGAUCAUCAUUUCUUCUCGACUCUGCUAGAUUUCUACAGUACUCAUUUCCAUCAAUACGCGAAAUAUUAGCAUCCAAUAAUGAGCAGGUGGUACCCUCCUCCAUUCAUAACUCGUGGAAGGAAGAUUUCGGCGUCAAAGUGUAUUAUAAGUAAAACCCACAAGCCCAAUCGACUCACAUGUGUCUCAAACCAUCAAGGACUUGAAUUGAGAAACAUGAGCUUUGAAGUAUAACAAUCUGCCACUUAACAGGUCAGAGGGAAGAGAGUAGCUCAAAACUUUUCAUAGCUCUCACUAGUGAAGUGAAAGCAGCCUUGAGAGAUUUUUGUGGAAUACCAAGUGGAGGCUGAUUUUUUGGUUAAAUGGUGUUUCAUUAAAGCUCAAUUUCGGUGGGUCAGUUUGCAACAAUUAAUUUAGCAGCGACAGCCGACAGGAUUCAUCAUCAGGGACAACCUUCAAUCUUGGAUUCUUGGUAUUACCAAAUUAAUCUUCAUUCACAUAGCUUUACAACAUGGUAUCCUCAAUAUUCAAAUUGAGGGCAACAAUCUGUUAGUUAUCAGCUUUGUCCAAGGCGUUAGGUCCAUUCCAUGGGAGAUCAAGCACAUCAUUAGCAAAUGUGGUUCAUCUAGUCAGUGAAAACAUGGAUAUUAUUUAAUUUCUGUUCUUUCUUCAAAUACAUUGGAAAUUUCCUUCGUGAGGAGGGCUUCUUAAUGGUUUUUCCUUUUUCUUA
This is an RNA transcript of Chenopodium quinoa (quinoa), 2177 nucleotides long. It is a transcript of the gene named F-box/kelch-repeat protein At3g61590-like, with no coding region annotated. The record is from RefSeq and is a predicted model, not a curated record. The transcript is spliced from 3 exons. NCBI's taxonomy places the organism in Eukaryota, Viridiplantae, Streptophyta, Magnoliopsida, Caryophyllales, Amaranthaceae.